ACAGCCUGCUGUUCACUCUGAUUCUGAACAGCAGGACUCAUGGCAAGUAAAGCAGCCCGGCUUUGUAGUCAGAGGGAUAUGAAAAAUACAGUGCUCGUAUGCUGUGGGGUCUAUACAGGAAUGUGACACAUUGGCUUCUGAGCUAUUUCAUUGUGGAUAAAUAAUGAAACAGUGAUUGGAGCACGGCAACUGGACCAGAGGUCUCCCACCUCCAGGUGAACGCCCUAACCUCUGGACUACAGAGUCAUUCCUCUCUUUCUCUGGCCC
Molecule: long non-coding RNA, 267 nt
Organism: Caretta caretta (loggerhead turtle)
Lineage: Eukaryota; Metazoa; Chordata; Testudines; Cheloniidae
Source: RefSeq, a predicted model, not a curated record